Molecule: long non-coding RNA, 264 nt
Filed under: Homo sapiens (human)
Lineage: Eukaryota; Metazoa; Chordata; Mammalia; Primates; Hominidae
Description: non-protein coding lnc-SLC25A26-6:1
Source: RNAcentral
AUGAUGAACACAAAGAGAAAGAGAAGAGGCACUGAUAUAUGUUCUCCAGGCCUUUUAGAGAACAUGGAAUUGUUCCUUUGGCCACAUAGAUGUGAAUCUAUAAGAAAGAUGAUAUUGUAGACACCAAAGGAAUGGGUACUGUUCAAAAAGGAAUGCCCCAUAAGUGUUACCAUGGCAAAACCGGAAGAGUCUACAAUGUUACCCAGAAUGCUGUUGGCAUUGUUGUAAAUAAACAAGUUAAGGGGAAGAUUCUUGCCAAGAAAA